Molecule: long non-coding RNA, 765 nt
Organism: Cyprinus carpio (common carp)
Lineage: Eukaryota; Metazoa; Chordata; Actinopteri; Cypriniformes; Cyprinidae
Exons: 3
Source: RefSeq, a predicted model, not a curated record
CCCGAACAGGCAAUUAAGGCACCGGUGGCUUUGCGCUUGACUUUGAGCGUUAGUUUGUUAGCCGGUCACGUGUGUGAGGAGCGUGGGGGGGGUGAGAAGAAACCAAUCGCACGCUUCAGCUCAGGCCAGCCACUAAUUAGGGUGAAGAGGAGGCCAGUGGACACGCGGUGUGAUUAAAUUUAGAUCUGGAGGGAGAUCUUGACCCCGCGUGCCCCUCAUCUAAGUGACAUUUAGCCAGGAUAACCACACUGCAGCUGAGGCUUAUUAACCUUUUGUGGGCCUGAACACCACUGACUGGCUUAAUUGGCAGAUGGAUUAUUAAAUAGAGCAACUUCAAGAUGAUUGAACAUCUCAUAUCUACAACGCACAGGCGUCCUCCUGCACCUCUGUGAUCAGCUGUGGCUACUUACCCCCCAUGUAGGCUGUCUCCGAUGCUCUAUAUGGAAAAUCAAACCCCUGACACUGAAAAAAAAAAAAAGAAAGAGCAGGCGUUAAAAAUACAAGAGAGGACUGGUGUGCAUUUCAUCUUCUGUGUCUUGUUUCAAAAUACCAAACGGAAAGAUGCGUCGCAUCAUAUUUGAUGAUACCAGAUAUUGCAAGCCAGUUUGAAUGCGCAGAAGUAUGACUGUCAUUUGUGAAGAAGAAAAGGUGUUUCAAGCUUUUGUCUUUGAGCUCUACUGAAAAAGGGUUCUGGAUAUUUGGUUAUUUGUUUAGAGGUAUUUGUGUGUUAAAAGGGAUAUAAAUGUUAGUUUUUUGUUAAGACAA